This is a long non-coding RNA of Arabidopsis lyrata subsp. lyrata, 319 nucleotides long. RefSeq lists it as uncharacterized. The record is from RefSeq and is a predicted model, not a curated record. NCBI's taxonomy places the organism in Eukaryota, Viridiplantae, Streptophyta, Magnoliopsida, Brassicales, Brassicaceae. The transcript has 2 exons.
UUUUUUUUUUUUUUUUCGUGGUAGUCGAUCGCUAAAGAAUUGUAAUUUUCACAUGCAAUAAAGUGUGGAAAAUGAUUGAAAUAAAUGAAGAUGUCUUCUUGUUUUUCGACCAGGCGGAUGUGACAUCAAUUUUCUGGUUUUCUAUGGCUAAAGAAAUAUUUAUGCAUUUGUCAUAUACUGUAGUAUAUAAAUAAUUAUUAUAACUUGAUUUUUUUUUUUUUGAACACUAUUACAACUUGAUUAAAAUGGAAGAAUUACAAGUUUACAACAAUAAUGAAAAGACCAUAAAAUGUUCAUUGGGACACAUGAUAAAAAAAAA